GAAGUGACUGAGUCGCAGGGUACAACGCAGCCGGGCACCGGAGACGCCGCACUGCUGCUGCCUAUCCAAGAAGGGUUCUGAAUCUGCAGCAAAGACAAAUGCAGAAGGUUAAGUGGUACUCGACGUUGAGAUUUAUCAAGAGCUGUGAGGCAUUCAUCUGGUCCCAUACUGAGUGGGAGCUGCUUGCCUAGUGUGGAGGAGGAAUGCCUGUCUCUAGACGUUCCUUCAACACCCAGAGUAACCUCCUCUGCUGAGCGGAGGGAGCACAGAGUGAAUUGAUAGGGCUGUAUUCUGCUCUGGGCCUGGGGAGGUGGGGGUCUGAGGGAGGGCUGUGGAGGGAGAUGAAAGCCCUCUCAGGGAGAUGCCCCAGAUGUGAGCAAAGCUGCAUUCCACAGCUGCAGGCGUGCUCCCCAAAGAGCCACCCCUGCCCUCCGACCCGGCCGCAUAUUCAUAAUAAAUCCAGGAGAUUCUCUGGCUCUCCUGUGAAGGCAUACCGUCCUCUGCCACAGCACAGACCGGGCCUCGACAUUGUGUUUCCUCAGGUCUCACAAUUGUCAAAGCUAUUACUGAAGAUAGUUCUCUACCUGAGCGUAGUUCUCAGGCCGAGUGAGAAGGGGCAGUUCAUAGGCCGUGGAA
Long non-coding RNA from Sinocyclocheilus grahami, 636 nucleotides. RefSeq lists it as uncharacterized. The transcript has 3 exons. NCBI's taxonomy places the organism in Eukaryota, Metazoa, Chordata, Actinopteri, Cypriniformes, Cyprinidae. The record is from RefSeq and is a predicted model, not a curated record.